UAUAGUCGGCAUUUAUUUUUUUGGUUUUGCAGAAGAAUUCAAAACUAGAAAAAUUAUUGUGCCGAUGUUAUACUUCAUUCUACUCUAUACAUUUUCAAUGUUCAUUUCCACUCGUCAAAUGUUUCGUCGAGUGUUUAUAAUAUCUUCGAAAAAAUGUGAUUUCGAUUGUCUAAUAUUUUCAACGGCAACCCUUAUCGUUCUGGUUCCAACAAUGCUAAUUCCUUUUGCAUUUUGGUUUCACACUAAACGUGCAGUUGUGUUCUGGGAAAACUGCUAUGAUUUUCAGGUUGUAUUCACCUUAAUUUUAUAGCACUGUUGACAAUUACGGGUGCAAAAAACGAAUGAUAUUCGAUCAUCAAUUACUCAACUUGCAGAUUCGUUAUGAAUUACUAGUGGGAAAUCCGAUCAGAACUCAAGAUAAAAAAUUCAUCACUUUUUUUGUGAUUAUUUCUGUAAUCAUUGUUUUACUGGUGACCACUCUUCCUUCAGCAUUCAUAUCAAGUUUUCAUUUUGUUGCCACAUCGACGUAUUACAUCGUUUUCGGCGGUUUUAUUGCAGGUGUUGCUUACUGGUUAUCAGGCUGCUUAUUUUUAAAACAAGUAGCUGAUAAUAUUAUAAUAUUCAUGGACAAGUCAUUUACGGCAUGGUUAGUUCGAAAAAAAAACAUCGCAAUUUGUUACGAAUUAUGGGCAGCAGCGCAAGACUUAUUAAAAGAGUUUGGAAAUUCUAUGGAAUCAUUUAUAAUGAUUUAUGGAUUUACAUUGAUGCUUACCAUGUUAAACGCAAUGUAUGGCUUUGUAUCUCAGUUAUACACCACUGAGCUAUAUAGCAAAAAUAUAAGGCAUGCUUGCGGGCAUUUCAUCUUGUUUCUUUGGAGCUCUACAUUGAUUUUUGUUAUUAACGAAUCAUCAUAUCAAGUGAUUAAUACGUUCACCAACAAAUUUAAAGCAUUUCUGUUUUUCAUGAACAUGAAUCAUGUGAGCACUGCGACAAAAAAUGAAGU
Molecule: long non-coding RNA, 1003 nt
Organism: Planococcus citri (citrus mealybug)
Lineage: Eukaryota; Metazoa; Arthropoda; Insecta; Hemiptera; Pseudococcidae
Exons: 3
Source: RefSeq, a predicted model, not a curated record